GAAGAUGGAUAAAAAAAAUCAUCACAAAUAUCAGAAAUGGAUGAUGAUGGAAUAAGAUAAAAUCAAAUUAUUUUGAAAUGGCUUCAUAGGUGGCAAUACUGAAGCCAAAGCAGAGUCUGUGCCCUUGCUCUGCUAAUCGGAGCAGUGACGCAGGCAGGAAAUUGUCAGGCCCAGUCUAAAUGAGCGGCCCAGUCAAUCCUGAGGCAGUUGGGUGCUCCUUCACCUGCUGGUGAAGGUGAAGAUGUCCUGCUGAUGAGAAGAAUCAAUUUGCUGAUCUCUAGAGUGUAUAGAUAGAUAGAUAGAUUGUAGGUCUUUCAGAUGAACAUUUCUGUUCAUUGGUUUAGCACAUUUGUAAAACACUAGAUACUAUAUAUCUUUAGUUUAUACACUUGAGACAUACAAGAUUUCUUAUUUCAAAGCUAUUUGCUGCACCGAGCUCAUUCCGCUCAGUCUCCUAGGCUCUCAUAUUCAGCAGGGAGCCGGCAUUGUAGAACAUAAUAUAAUUUUAUGGCUUGGGUUAAUAUAGUAGACAGGACAGGGAGACAGAGACGGACAGUUGUCUCCUACUGACUAGGCCACGCUGCUGUUUAGCCGUCAAAAUACUGUAAUUUAGAAAAAUUAUUUUGGAAAACCUUCACCAAAAUCAGCUUUCUUAAUCGUGGUUACAAGUUUUAGUUGUAGUGGUAUGACAUCUCUGGUGCAGCCACUGUAUAUUCGUGUAUACAACUAGCAACAGAUAUUGAAUCAUGUUGAGUCAUAUGUAAGGUCCUAGGAGAAAAAUGUGACUCACAAACCUCUGGGGAAGACUGAUAUAUACUAUGGUUCACACAGUUCAGUUUUUAAUGGGGUUUUUGAAGGUUCUUUUAUUAAACCACAACAAGGUAUAUAAAAUGGGUAUUCCCAUACCAGACAAUGGUGUCAUAUUGCUAGGAUAUGCCACCAAUCUCAGGCGUGGUUCCCACCUCUAGUACCCACUUCUAUGUCCAGAACGGGGCUCCCCACACAUACACAGCCGUCUCUUCAUUCACACCUAUGGGACUGCCGGAAAUAGGAUGGGAGCAGGACUAUACAGGAGGAAUAAUAGGGAGGAGUUGUAAGGAAAGAUGCUCUCACUGAGGUGGUAACACAUGCUCAGUUUAAAUCUUCAGCUGCCACCUGCCAUAUGUUCUGUUAGACGCUAUGGCGGUUACAGUGAAAAAGCUACAUCAGAAAAGACAUGACCUGUGAGAAAGGA
Bufo bufo (common toad) is the source of this 1234-nucleotide long non-coding RNA. RefSeq lists it as uncharacterized. The transcript is spliced from 2 exons. Lineage: Eukaryota; Metazoa; Chordata; Amphibia; Anura; Bufonidae. The record is from RefSeq and is a predicted model, not a curated record.